RNAcentral lists this long non-coding RNA (453 nucleotides) under Monodelphis domestica (gray short-tailed opossum). RNAcentral describes it as "lncRNA (ENSMODG00000031675.2)". The record is from RNAcentral. Lineage: Eukaryota; Metazoa; Chordata; Mammalia; Didelphimorphia; Didelphidae.
UGUAUGUCCGCAUCAGUUUCCCCAAUUGUUAAAUGGGAUUAUAAUAAUAUUUAAGGUUUGUUGUGAGAAUCAAAUGUGAUCAUAUUUGCAAAUACUCAGCACACAAUUCCUAACAGAUACUAGGCUCUAGAUACAUGCUUAUUCUCUUGCUUUGUUGUAGCUUACAGAAACUACUUCACUGAGUUAUGAAGAGGACUAAUGUCAAAUAGUUGUCUCUUUCCUAAUGUCAGGAGACGCUAGAGAAUGAUGGUGAACCUUUUAGAGAGAUGUAAAGAAACCUGAAGAAUGAAACAUUGUCUACAUAAUUAAAGCUAAGGGAGAAGAGCAAGAUUGAGUUAUUCCAUUCUUCAAAGCUUUCAGGAGGGUCAAUUGCUAAUGAUAUAACUAUGACACAUACUUAUACAAGAUAUCAUUGACAAUAAAAGCACAAUACAUGCUAUGAGGAGUGAUGAA